Molecule: ribosomal RNA, 253 nt
Filed under: uncultured bacterium
Lineage: Bacteria
Description: partial 16S ribosomal RNA
Rfam family: Bacterial small subunit ribosomal RNA
Source: RNAcentral
UACGAGGGGGGCAAAUGUUGUUCGGAAUCACUGGGCGUAAAGGGAGCGUAGGCGGGUUCUUAAGUUAGGUGUUUAAUCCCGGGGCCCAACCCCGGACCGGCACUUAAAACUGGGAAUCUUGAAUAGUGGAGAGGUCAGUGGAAUUGGGGGUGUAGCGGUGGAAUGCGUAGAGAUCCCCAAGAACACCAGUUGCGAAGGCGGCUGACUGGACACAUAUUGACGCUGAGGCUCGAAAGCUAGGGGAGCAAACAGG